CAGUCGCCGCGGUAAUACGUAGGGCGCAAGCGUUAUCCGGAAUUAUUGGGCGUAAAGAGCUCGUAGGCGGUUUGUCGCGUCUGCCGUGAAAGUCCGGGGCUCAACCCCGGAUCUGCGGUGGGUACGGGCAGACUAGAGUGAUGUAGGGGAGACUGGAAUUCCUGGUGUAGCGGUGAAAUGCGCAGAUAUCAGGAGGAACACCGAUGGCGAAGGCAGGUCUCUGGGCAUUAACUGACGCUGAGGAGCGAAAGCAUGGGGAGCGAACAGGAUUAGAUACCCCUGUAGUCCCUGUCUCUUAUAA
This 301-nucleotide ribosomal RNA is filed under the name uncultured bacterium. RNAcentral describes it as "partial 16S ribosomal RNA". It matches the Rfam family "Bacterial small subunit ribosomal RNA", at positions 509 to 809 of the family's 1533-position model. The record is from RNAcentral.